RNAcentral lists this ribosomal RNA (896 nucleotides) under uncultured Bacteroidota bacterium. Its description in RNAcentral is "bacterial SSU rRNA". It matches the Rfam family "Bacterial small subunit ribosomal RNA", at positions 37 to 927 of the family's 1533-position model. Lineage: Bacteria; Pseudomonadati; Bacteroidota. The record is from RNAcentral.
UAGCGGCAGGCCUAACACAUGCAAGUCGAACGGUAACAGGAAAGAGCUUGCUUUUUUGCUGACGAGUGGCGCACGGGUGCGUAACGCGUAUACAAUCUACCUUUUACAGGGGGAUAGCCUUUAGAAAUGAAGAAUAAUACCCCAUAGUAAGUCAUUAUGGCAUCAUAGUGAUUUUAAAGUUUCGGCGGUAAAAGAUGAGUAUGCGUUCUAUUAGCUAGAUGGUGUGGUAACGGCACACCAUGGCAACGAUAGAUAGGGGCCCUGAGAGGGGGAUCCCCCACACUGGUACUGAGACACGGACCAGACUCCUACGGGAGGCAGCAGUGAGGAAUAUUGGACAAUGGGCGAGAGCCUGAUCCAGCCAUGCCGCGUGCAGGAAGACUGCCCUAUGGGUUGUAAACUGCUUUUAUAUAGGAAGAAACCUUUCCACGUGUGGAAAGCUGACGGUACUAUAAGAGUAAGGAUCGGCUAACUCCGUGCCAGCAGCCGCGGUAAUACGGAGGAUCCAAGCGUUAUCCGGAAUCAUUGGGUUUAAAGGGUCCGUAGGUGGAUAAUUAAGUCAGAGGUGAAAUCCUGCAGCUCAACUGUAGAAUUGCCUUUGAUACUGGUUAUCUUGAAUUAUUGUGAAGUGGUUAGAAUAUGUAGUGUAGCGGUGAAAUGCAUAGAUAUUACAUAGAAUACCAAUUGCGAAGGCAGAUCACUAACAAUAUAUUGACACUGAUGGACGAAAGCGUGGGGAGCGAACAGGAUUAGAUACCCUGGUAGUCCACGCCGUAAACGAUGGUCACUAGCUGUUCGAACUUCGGUUUGAGUGGCUAAGAGAAAUUGAUAAGUGACCCACCUGGGGAGUACGUUCGCAAGAAUGAAACUCAAAGGAAUUGACGGGGGCCCGCACA